Haliotis rubra (blacklip abalone) is the source of this 811-nucleotide long non-coding RNA. RefSeq lists it as uncharacterized. The transcript is spliced from 4 exons. The record is from RefSeq and is a predicted model, not a curated record. NCBI's taxonomy places the organism in Eukaryota, Metazoa, Mollusca, Gastropoda, Lepetellida, Haliotidae.
UCUCACCUGGCAAUUAAAGUGUAACUGUACUCAAUGAGUGUCACCUGGCAGGUAAAGUGUGACUGUAACUGUAAUCAAUGAGUGUCACCUGGCAGGUAAAGUGUGACUGUAACUGUACUCAAUGAGUGUCACCUGGCAGGUAAAGUGUGACUGUAACUCUACUCAAUAGGUCUCACCUGGCAAUUAAAGUGUAACUGUACUCAAUGAGUGUCACCUGGCAGGUAAAGUGUGACUGUAACUCUACUCAAUAGGUCUCACCUGGCAGGUAAAGUGUGACUGUAACUGUACUCAAUGAGUGUCACCUGGCAGGUAAAGUGUGAUUGUAACUCUACUCAAUAGGUCUCACCUGCCAGGUAAAGUGUGACUGUAACUAUACUCAAUAGGUCUCACCUGGCCAAUAAAGUGUAACUGUACUCAAUGAGUGUCACCUGGCAGGUAAAGUGUGACUGUAACUGUACUCAAUAGGUCUCACCUGGCAGGUAAAGUGUGAUUGUAACUCUACUCAAUAGGUGUCACCUGGCAGGUAAAGUGUGGCUGUAACUAUACUCAAUAGGUGUCACCUGGCAGGUAAAGUGUGGCUGUAACUAUACUCAAUGAGUGUCACCUGGCAGGUAAAGUGUGACUGUAACUAUACUCAAUAGGUGUCACCUGGCAGGUAAAGUGUGACUGUAACUGUACUCAAUAGGUGUCACCUGGCAGGUAAAGUGUGACUGUAACUAUACUCAAUAGGUGUCACCUGGCAGGUAAAGUGUGGCUGUAACUAUAGUCAAUAGGUCUCACCUGGCAGGUAAAGUGUGGCUGUAACUAUAGU